UCCUUUUGUAGAUAAUCUAAGGUCUAGCCUGCCCACUGAAGUUUUAAAUGGCCGUGGUAUUUUGACCGUGCUAAGGUAGCAUAAUCAUUAGUUUUUUAAUUAAAAACUGGAAUGAAAGGUUGGAUGAGAAAAUAGCUGUCUCUAUUAAAUUUAAUUAGAAUUUUAUUUUUAAGUUAAAAAGCUUAGUUAUUGUUAAAAGACGAGAAGACCCUAUAGAGUUUAAUUAUUUAGUAAAAAUUAUAUUUUAGUAUUAAUUUAUUUAUUUUAUUAAAUAAUUUAAUUGGGGUGAUUGAAAAAUUUAAUUAACUUUUUUUAUUUAAUAACAUUAAUUUAUGAAUAAAUGAUCCAAUAUUUUUGAUUAUAAGAUAAAAUUACCUUAGGGAUAACAGCGUAAUUUUUUUAAAAAGUUCAUAUUAAAAAAAAAGAUUGCGACCUCGAUGUUGGAUUAAAAUAGAUUUUUGGUGUAGAAGCUAAAAUAUUAGGUCUGUUCGACCUUUAAAAUUUUACAUGAU
RNAcentral lists this ribosomal RNA (512 nucleotides) under Oreina speciosa. Its description in RNAcentral is "partial 16S ribosomal RNA". It matches the Rfam family "Bacterial large subunit ribosomal RNA", at positions 1830 to 2604 of the family's 2925-position model. Lineage: Eukaryota; Metazoa; Arthropoda; Insecta; Coleoptera; Chrysomelidae. The record is from RNAcentral.